RNAcentral lists this non-coding RNA (586 nucleotides) under Pan troglodytes (chimpanzee). The record is from RNAcentral. Lineage: Eukaryota; Metazoa; Chordata; Mammalia; Primates; Hominidae.
AGUCGCCUCAGCCGCGGUAUGAGGGAGCGGGAGUCUUCCUUAGCUUCUCCGCCAUGGGUGUCGCUUCGUAGCCGGGCUGCUCCGGGAAAGGCCUCGUACAGCACGCAUUCACCAGAAUCCUGUCAGCUUUCCUCUUCUCAUCCAGAUGCCUGGCCAGGAUCCUCGAUAAGACCGUGACCCCCAACUUGGACACCCCAUAAGGUUCCCAGAUGAUGUGACAGCUACUGGUUUCCAGCCACACCUUGAGAACACUUGGCUUUGACUACCACUUCUUAAACUUAAAGGAAAACUAGACAAUCCACCAGCCCAGGAGGGGACAAGCAGGAUUAAUCCUCCUCCUCGUCAUCUCUGGCUCCAGCCCCACCCUGGCCCUUGCUGGCAUUCUUCCUCUUCACGUGGCUGGGUUUGGCCACCCCAAUAGGGAAGCAGAGGGAGAAGUCGAUGUGCUUCUGGGAAUCCAGGCGGAUAGUGAAGAACAGGAUAUUUACCACCUGCUCACGGACACGGAUAUGACACUGUUGGAUCAGCACAUGAGCGUGGCAGAUGGACUUAGCCAAGCCAAGCUUGAAGACCUGGGUCUGUAGGC